RNAcentral lists this long non-coding RNA (1154 nucleotides) under Monodelphis domestica (gray short-tailed opossum). Its description in RNAcentral is "lncRNA (ENSMODG00000047020.1)". The record is from RNAcentral. Lineage: Eukaryota; Metazoa; Chordata; Mammalia; Didelphimorphia; Didelphidae.
CUUUAUUGAGGCCUUUGGUUUUUCCAUCAACAGAAAUUUCCCCCACCUUCUUUCCUCCCCGUGCCAUCCCAGAGAUGUCCCAGAGAGCCAUCUCAUAUAAUAAAUGAUAUAUUUUAAAGAAAAAUAAGAAAAAGAGGGAGAAAAUCAACAUUACUGAUCAAUACAUCAAAAAUGUCAGAAAAUAUGUGCCAUGCCCAGCACUCUACAAAAGGAUGAGGCAUUUUGAAGAUGAAGAGACAUGCUGAUACCAUACACCUAGCAAAUGAAGGAUCCAGGACUUAAACUCAAGUUUUCUGACACCAAUUCCACUGCUUUGGGCAUCUUAUUGUGUUCCUGCUUCAUUGCAGCACCAUUACAGCGUCUCCCCAGAUCUUAAAAGCCAUAAACUGACUGCCUCAGGAAGUUGUUCACUCGCCUUGGCACUGCACGAAAGUAUUUCACAAAUAUUAUCUCAUUUGAUCUUCACAACAACCCUGAGAGGGAACAGUGGGGUGACAGGGAGUGUGUUUCUGUAUACCUCCCCUGGGCAUUUUGUAUCCUGUGGCAGGGCUUGGCAACCUAUCUGGAUCGACUCCUUUGAUGGUCACUCUCAGCAAAUGAGCAUCGCAGGUGAGUGGCCAGGGAUCAGGGUUACUCAUCAGAUGCCUGGUGUGGCUCAGGAUGCUACAGUCUCCCCAGGCGGCUAUUGAUUUUGUGGCUCUUGGGGAAGUGGUGGCUUAUUCAUAUUUUCAAGUUCUAUUAUGCCUCCGAAUGAGGCUUCUUCGGCUUCCCGUGGCUUCAUAGCCACAAAAUCAAUUAUGACUUCAAUAGCACUCUUACAGUACAGUAUUUGUGAAAAGAAAAUUGAAAAAUUAUUACCUGAUGGAUGAGAAAUGGUUUUGACAUUUAAAAAAACCCCAGAAAAUGCUCUUCCAUAUCUCUUCUAAAUGAUGGCUGGUGUUGACAUUAGCAUUUAUGUAACUCAUCCCAUCCUGAGAAGGAAAGCGUUCUAAGUCUUAAAAGCAGUCGAGACUAUUACAAUGGGCCAUCAUCGGCCUUCAAAGGAGUUCGCUGGAGCACCUCCUGUGCCAAGCCCCCGCUGUAUGAACCCCAUAAUCAUUAACAUUUGGGGCAGGAACAUUGCAGAGGCAAGCCCCAGGCGGAGUGAAAUCACG